Non-coding RNA from Equus caballus (horse), 644 nucleotides. The record is from RefSeq and is a predicted model, not a curated record. NCBI's taxonomy places the organism in Eukaryota, Metazoa, Chordata, Mammalia, Perissodactyla, Equidae.
AAUAAUGAGACAUGCAGAUUUAGAGGUAAUACCCUCAAUUUUUGUUUGGUUAAAAUACUUGCUGAUCCAGUUGUGUCAUGUACUAAUUGACUGGGUUGUACGGUUUAGGACCGCAACCCUGAGGAGCCUGUGGGGUGACUGUUAAGAACAGGAUUGAGUAUGCACGUGCACCCAGAGCUAAAACGAAGCGAAACCCACUGAAAAACAAAAAUCCCAACAUCUUUUAAUUUUUGAGUAUUUACUUGAAAUCACAGUCUUUCCCAAAUUAUCAAAAAGCCUAUGCCUUAGCUAUUUUACUAGAAUAAUGAUUCAGGCUAUUCGGUAUGGUCAUUUUGUGUAGAACUUGGUAUAAACAGAUCUUUCUUUUCUUUUCAGAAAUUACUAAGCUCUGUUGGUGCCACAGCUGAUCCUUCUUCAGUUCCAGAGGCGUCUUCUGGUGCCAGCAGCUCUUGACAGUGGUACUUCACUGGUGCUUGAGGGACUUUAACGGACAGAUGACGGGCAGCAAAGACUGGCCAGAACGAGAGAGAAAUGGGGCUGCUGUUUGGAACAUGGAUGCCCUGGUGGUUUGCUUGCUACUGUGCCACAUAGAACUGCAGAAGAAAGGGACGCACUGACAUUAAAAGACCCUCAUUUGCUCCCUG